UGUAAUCUGGUGUUUUUAGCAUUUUAUGUUUUGGUCAUAAAGGGAAAUAGUCUUUGAUUGCAA
This 63-nucleotide transfer RNA is filed under the name Ogmocotyle ailuri. RNAcentral describes it as "tRNA-Gln". The record is from RNAcentral. Lineage: Eukaryota; Metazoa; Platyhelminthes; Trematoda; Plagiorchiida; Notocotylidae.